GUUUGAAGUAAUGGGUGCUGAAAGGGUGUCAGUUAAUUUUUAACAUGUAUACUUAGAUGUGACCAAAGAUAAUUUUAGUUCUAGAGGAGGUAAUUUUAAAGUGGAAGAACUGACUUCUGGGGCUGAAGGGAAUGAAAUUUUUGGUGAAUAUAUCUUGGAUAACUCAUCAGCUCUCUUCUCAAUAUCAAUUUUGGGCUCAGAUUCUUCUAUCGAGCUAGUCUCAGUACUAAUCUCUUUUUCUAAAUUCUCUUUUUGACUAGCAUCAGUACUAACCUCACUCACCUGGUCUUGGUAUGAGUCCUUAAGAAUUCUAUCACUUUGAAGCUC
RNAcentral lists this long non-coding RNA (327 nucleotides) under Elaeis guineensis (African oil palm). RNAcentral describes it as "long non-coding RNA (EGUI_LNC064015)". Lineage: Eukaryota; Viridiplantae; Streptophyta; Magnoliopsida; Arecales; Arecaceae. The record is from RNAcentral.